Molecule: ribosomal RNA, 1372 nt
Filed under: uncultured bacterium
Lineage: Bacteria
Description: bacterial SSU rRNA
Rfam family: Bacterial small subunit ribosomal RNA
Source: RNAcentral
GAUGAACGCUGGCGGCGUGCCUAAUACAUGCAAGUCGAGCGAACAGACAAGGAGCUUGCUCCUUUGACGUUAGCGGCGGACGGGUGAGUAACACGUGGGUAACCUACCUAUAAGACUGGGAUAACUUCGGGAAACCGGAGCUAAUACCGGAUAAUAUUUCGAACCGCAUGGUUCGAUAGUGAAAGAUGGUUUUGCUAUCACUUAUAGAUGGACCCGCGCCGUAUUAGCUAGUUGGUAAGGUAACGGCUUACCAAGGCGACGAUACGUAGCCGACCUGAGAGGGUGAUCGGCCACACUGGAACUGAGACACGGUCCAGACUCCUACGGGAGGCAGCAGUAGGGAAUCUUCCGCAAUGGGCGAAAGCCUGACGGAGCAACGCCGCGUGAGUGAUGAAGGUCUUCGGAUCGUAAAACUCUGUUAUUAGGGAAGAACAUACGUGUAAGUAACUGUGCACGUCUUGACGGUACCUAAUCAGAAAGCCACGGCUAACUACGUGCCAGCAGCCGCGGUAAUACGUAGGUGGCAAGCGUUAUCCGGAAUUAUUGGGCGUAAAGCGCGCGUAGGCGGUUUUUUAAGUCUGAUGUGAAAGCCCACGGCUCAACCGUGGAGGGUCAUUGGAAACUGGAAAACUUGAGUGCAGAAGAGGAAAGUGGAAUUCCAUGUGUAGCGGUGAAAUGCGCAGAGAUAUGGAGGAACACCAGUGGCGAAGGCGACUUUCUGGUCUGUAACUGACGCUGAUGUGCGAAAGCGUGGGGAUCAAACAGGAUUAGAUACCCUGGUAGUCCACGCCGUAAACGAUGAGUGCUAAGUGUUAGGGGGUUUCCGCCCCUUAGUGCUGCAGCUAACGCAUUAAGCACUCCGCCUGGGGAGUACGACCGCAAGGUUGAAACUCAAAGGAAUUGACGGGGACCCGCACAAGCGGUGGAGCAUGUGGUUUAAUUCGAAGCAACGCGAAGAACCUUACCAAAUCUUGACAUCCUUUGACAACUCUAGAGAUAGAGCCUUCCCCUUCGGGGGACAAAGUGACAGGUGGUGCAUGGUUGUCGUCAGCUCGUGUCGUGAGAUGUUGGGUUAAGUCCCGCAACGAGCGCAACCCUUAAGCUUAGUUGCUAUCAUUAAGUUGGGCACUCUAAGUUGACUGCCGGUGACAAACCGGAGGAAGGUGGGGAUGACGUCAAAUCAUCAUGCCCCUUAUGAUUUGGGCUACACACGUGCUACAAUGGACAAUACAAAGGGUAGCGAAACCGCGAGGUCAAGCAAAUCCCAUAAAGUUGUUCUCAGUUCGGAUUGUAGUCUGCAACUCGACUACAUGAAGCUGGAAUCGCUAGUAAUCGUAGAUCAGCAUGCUACGGUGAAUACGUUCCCGGGUCU